AUUGAACGCUGGCGGCAUGCCUUACACAUGCAAGUCGAACGGUAACGCGGGGCAACCUGGCGACGAGUGGCGAACGGGUGAGUAAUACAUCGGAACGUGCCCAGUAGUGGGGGAUAGCCCGGCGAAAGCCGGAUUAAUACCGCAUACGACCUACGGGUGAAAGCGGGGGAUCGCAAGACCUCGCGCUAUUGGAGCGGCCGAUGUCAGAUUAGGUAGUUGGUGGGGUAAAGGCCUACCAAGCCUACGAUCUGUAGCUGGUCUGAGAGGACGACCAGCCACACUGGGACUGAGACACGGCCCAGACUCCUACGGGAGGCAGCAGUGGGGAAUUUUGGACAAUGGGCGCAAGCCUGAUCCAGCCAUGCCGCGUGCGGGAAGAAGGCCUCGGUUGUAA
This 394-nucleotide ribosomal RNA is filed under the name uncultured bacterium. RNAcentral describes it as "bacterial SSU rRNA". It matches the Rfam family "Bacterial small subunit ribosomal RNA", at positions 29 to 428 of the family's 1533-position model. The record is from RNAcentral.